This 465-nucleotide ribosomal RNA is filed under the name uncultured bacterium. Its description in RNAcentral is "partial 16S ribosomal RNA". It matches the Rfam family "Bacterial small subunit ribosomal RNA", at positions 28 to 507 of the family's 1533-position model. The record is from RNAcentral.
GACGAACGCUGGCGGCGUGCUUAACACAUGCAAGUCGAACGGAAAGGCCCUGCUUGCAGGGUACUCGAGUGGCGAACGGGUGAGUAACACGUGGGUGAUCUGCCCUGCACUUCGGGAUAAGCCUGGGAAACUGGGUCUAAUACCGGAUAGGAGCCAUUUUUAGUGUGAUGGUUGGAAAGUUUUUUCGGUGUAGGAUGAGCUCGCGGCCUAUCAGCUUGUUGGUGGGGUAAUGGCCUACCAAGGCGGCGACGGGUAGCCGGCCUGAGAGGGUGGACGGCCACAGUGAGACUGAGAUACGGCCCAGACUCCGACGGGAGGCAGCAGUGGGGAAUAUUGCACAAUGGGCGCAAGCCGGAUGCAGAGACGCCGCGUGGGGGAUGACGGCCUUCGGGUUGUAAACUCCUUUCGCUAGGGACGAAGCUUUUUGUGACGGUACCUAGAUAAGAAGCACCGGCUAACUACGUG